RNAcentral lists this long non-coding RNA (585 nucleotides) under Linum usitatissimum (flax). RNAcentral's name for it is "long non-coding RNA (LUSI_LNC007533)". Lineage: Eukaryota; Viridiplantae; Streptophyta; Magnoliopsida; Malpighiales; Linaceae. The record is from RNAcentral.
CUCCACCAGUUGCAAGUGAGAUUACGGCGGCGGCGGCAGCAGUGGUGGAUGAUAUUGAGUGCGGCGGCCAAUCGGAAGAAAGUGAACAUGGUCGACAACAAGUACCGGAGAUGAGGAGAUCGAGUUCGUUGAAUUUUGAGGGGGUGCCGGCGAGGAUGAUGAAGAGAUCAGUUUCGACGGGGAGAUUUGUGUUGAUGUCGAGAGAUGGUAAUUCUUCUUCCAAUACCAUUCCAGUUUGAAUUUGAUCCGCCGCCGCCAUAGGCGCUUUUUUUUUUGUGUUGUUUUUUUCUCUUCUCUGUUGUAUUUUGUUUUCAUUCAUUAAUCAUUUUAUACAAACUUUAGUGUUAGAAAUGUGAAAUGAUGGUAUAUAUGAUUUACAGGGGAAACGUGAUGGAUUGAUACUUGGGAUGUUGUACAUUUUACACUGCUUUUCGUUUCUGUGUUAUGUAUAAAUCAAUGUAUGUCAUUCAUACAAAUUUCAUACACAAAUAAAUCAAUGUUCAUUCCAUUCUUCAUCAUAUUUACUCAUAUUUUUGAUGAGUUUUUAUGAGCGUUACGAUAAUUUUAAAAUAGAAAUUUUAUAUG